RNAcentral lists this ribosomal RNA (600 nucleotides) under Aspergillus parasiticus. Its description in RNAcentral is "eukaryotic LSU rRNA". The stretch from base 194 to 347 matches the Rfam family "5.8S ribosomal RNA". The record is from RNAcentral. Lineage: Eukaryota; Fungi; Ascomycota; Eurotiomycetes; Eurotiales; Aspergillaceae.
AAGGAUCAUUACCGAGUGUAGGGUUCCUAGCGAGCCCAACCUCCCACCCGUGUUUACUGUACCUUAGUUGCUUCGGCGGGCCCGCCAUUCAUGGCCGCCGGGGGCUCUCAGCCCCGGGCCCGCGCCCGCCGGAGACACCACGAACUCUGUCUGAUCUAGUGAAGUCUGAGUUGAUUGUAUCGCAAUCAGUUAAAACUUUCAACAAUGGAUCUCUUGGUUCCGGCAUCGAUGAAGAACGCAGCGAAAUGCGAUAACUAGUGUGAAUUGCAGAAUUCCGUGAAUCAUCGAGUCUUUGAACGCACAUUGCGCCCCCUGGUAUUCCGGGGGGCAUGCCUGUCCGAGCGUCAUUGCUGCCCAUCAAGCACGGCUUGUGUGUUGGGUCGUCGUCCCCUCUCCGGGGGGGACGGGCCCCAAAGGCAGCGGCGGCACCGCGUCCGAUCCUCGAGCGUAUGGGGCUUUGUCACCCGCUCUGUAGGCCCGGCCGGCGCUUGCCGAACGCAAAUCAAUCUUUUUCCAGGUUGACCUCGGAUCAGGUAGGGAUACCCGCUGAACUUAAGCAUAUCAAUAAGCGGAGGAAAAGAAACCAACCGGGAUUGCCUC